Molecule: ribosomal RNA, 424 nt
Filed under: Euplectrus sp. RDB-1999
Lineage: Eukaryota; Metazoa; Arthropoda; Insecta; Hymenoptera; Eulophidae
Description: eukaryotic LSU rRNA
Source: RNAcentral
CCUGAGAAACCCAAAAGAUGAAAUGGGGAGAUUCAUCGUCAGCGGCGUUGGCUUCCGUGCGGUACGCGAUGGCGGGGACCUCGGUCUCGCGUCACGCUGCCGCUGCGGCAUGUCCGGAGUCGUCGGCGUGCACUUCUCCCCUAGUAGGACGUCGCGACCCGUUGGGUGUCGGAUCGAUGGCCGGUCGGUCGUCUGUUGCGCUCGCGCUUCAGACCGAUUCGGUCGAAAGUCCGGCUGCCCGGCGGUAUUGAACGAUAUGAACUGGUAUCGGGCCGCACUCGAAUGCGUUCAGGCUCGUCGGCAGGCUCGUCUCGCUCGGAUUUACGGACCUAGCGCCGUUGCCGGGCGCUUGGCGUGGCUGUUAGUCGACGAUGUCCUCGGACUGGCUCUUACCUUCGGCACGCUACUUGCUUUGGGUACUUUC